Molecule: ribosomal RNA, 931 nt
Filed under: Benjaminiella youngii
Lineage: Eukaryota; Fungi; Mucoromycota; Mucoromycetes; Mucorales; Mucoraceae
Description: LSU rRNA
Rfam family: Eukaryotic large subunit ribosomal RNA
Source: RNAcentral
GAUUUCCCUAGUAACGGCGAGUGAAGAGGAAAGAGCUCAAAGUUGUAACCUAUUUGGCUUAGCCAAAUCGGAUUGUAAACUGGAGAAGUGUUUUAUGGCACACCGGGUAAAGAAGUCCCUUGGAACAGGGCAUCAUAGAGGGUGAGAAUCCCGUGACUUUGCCUGAGAAUAGUUGUCAACUUUAAUACGCUUUCAAAGAGUCAGGUUGUUUGGGAAUGCAGCCUAAAUUGGGUGGUAAAUCUCACCUAAAGCUAAAUAUUGGCGAGAGACCGAUAGCGAACAAGUACCGUGAGGGAAAGAUGAAAAGAACUUUGAAAAGAGAGUUAAACAGUACGUGAAAUUGUUAAAAGGGAACCGUUUGGAGCCAGACCGGCUUUACCGUAAUCAAUCUAGGUUUCGACCUGGAUGCACUUGCGGUAUGUGCCUGCCAACGACAGUUUUUUCUGAGGGAAAAAAUUAAGAGGAAUGUGGCCCCUCGGGGUGUUAUAGCCUUUUAAAAAAUACCUUGGAUUGGACUGAGGAACGCAGCGAAUGCCAUUAGGCAAGAUUGCUGGGCGCUUUAACUGAUAGAAGCUAGAAUUUCUGCCUUGGGUGGUGCUAGUUUCUAAAGGGUAAACUCGUUUAGUAUAUUUUUUAUUCGCUUAGGUUGUUGGCUUAAUGACUCUAAAUGACCCGUCUUGAAACACGGACCAAGGAGUCCACCAUAAGUGCGAGUAUUUGGGUGGCAAACCCCUAUGCGUAAGGAAACUGAUUGAUACGAAAUCGCAAGAUGGCAGUAUCACCCGGCGUUGACGUUUUAUACUGAACUGACCGAGGUAAAGCAUUUAUGAUGGGACCCGAAAGAUGGUGAACUAUGCCUGAAUAGGGUGAAGCCGGAGGAAACUCCGGUGGAGGCUCGUAGCGAUUCUGACGUGCAAAUCGAUCGUCAAAU